Molecule: transfer-messenger RNA, 360 nt
Filed under: Parasulfuritortus sp.
Lineage: Bacteria; Pseudomonadati; Pseudomonadota; Betaproteobacteria; Nitrosomonadales; Thiobacillaceae
Rfam family: transfer-messenger RNA
About the family: Bacterial tmRNA, also known as 10Sa RNA or SsrA, is named for its dual tRNA and mRNA-like properties. Its role is to liberate the mRNA from a stalled ribosome.
Source: RNAcentral
GGGGCCGACUUGGCUUCGACGUGGGUUGCAAAGCAGACAGGUGCAUACCGAGGACCAGUUACCUCGUAAAUCAACUGGAAAAUAUUAGUCGCCAACGACGAAACUUACGCUCUGGCCGCUUGACGGUCAGACUCCACACCGGUAGGUCCAUGGGCCGGGCUGGGCAACCAGCGGUGGAGUCAUUAACAUGGACUCGCGCGGAUUCGGGCUACUUGAAUCAGCGUCAAACUUAGGUGGCUCGCCUGAACCCAGCCUGUUCGGCCGGCGUGGUUCGGGUUAAAACCAAAUGACCGGAAUAAGUAUGUAGAUCUUGCUGUAGAGGACUUGCGGACGCGGGUUCGAUUCCCGCCGGCUCCACCA